This 74-nucleotide transfer RNA is filed under the name Phrynosoma platyrhinos (Desert horned lizard). RNAcentral's name for it is "tRNA-OTHER". Lineage: Eukaryota; Metazoa; Chordata; Lepidosauria; Squamata; Phrynosomatidae. The record is from RNAcentral.
GAGCCAGUGUAAGGUAGUGGUUUGAGCACUGGACUACGACUCUGGAGACCAGGGUUCAAAUCCCCACUUGUUCA